UGGGGAAUAUUGCACAAUGGGCGCAAGCCUGAUGCAGCCAUGCCGCGUGUAUGAAGAAGGCCUUCGGGUUGUAAAGUACUUUCAGCGGGGAGGAAGGCGAUAAGGUUAAUAACCUUGUCGAUUGACGUUACCCGCAGAAGAAGCACCGGCUAACUCCGUGCCAGCAGCCGCGGUAAUACGGAGGGUGCAAGCGUUAAUUGGAAUUACUGGGCGUAAAGCGCACGCAGGCGGUCUGUCAAGUCGGAUGUGAAAUCCCCGGACUCAACCUGGGAACUGCAUUCGAAACUGGCAGGCUAGAGUCUUGUAGAGGGGGGUAGAAUUCCAGGUGUAGCGGUGAAAUGCGUAGAGAUCUGGAGGAAUACCGGUGGCGAAGGCGGCCCCCUGGACAAAGACUGACGCUCAGGUGCGAAAGCGUGGGGAGCAAACA
RNAcentral lists this ribosomal RNA (427 nucleotides) under uncultured bacterium. RNAcentral describes it as "partial 16S ribosomal RNA". It matches the Rfam family "Bacterial small subunit ribosomal RNA", at positions 355 to 774 of the family's 1533-position model. The record is from RNAcentral.